UAAACAACAGACGUGUCCCAUGGAUC
Molecule: non-coding RNA, 26 nt
Filed under: Mus musculus (house mouse)
Lineage: Eukaryota; Metazoa; Chordata; Mammalia; Rodentia; Muridae
Source: RNAcentral